This 484-nucleotide ribosomal RNA is filed under the name uncultured bacterium. RNAcentral describes it as "partial 16S ribosomal RNA". It matches the Rfam family "Bacterial small subunit ribosomal RNA", at positions 30 to 507 of the family's 1533-position model. The record is from RNAcentral.
AUUGAACGCUGGCGGCAGGCCUAACACAUACAAGUCGAGCGGAUGAAGGGAGCUUGCUCCUGGAUUCAGCGGCGGACGGGUGAGUAAUGCCUAGGAAUCUGCCUGGUAGUGGGGGAUAACGUCCGGAAACGGGCGCUAAUACCGCAUACGUCCUGAGGGAGAAAGUGGGGGAUCUUCGGACCUCACGCUAUCAGAUGAGCCUAGGUCGGAUUAGCUAGUUGGUGGGGUAAAGGCCUACCAAGGCGACGAUCCGUAACUGGUCUGAGAGGAUGAUCAGUCACACUGGAACUGAGACACGGUCCAGACUCCUACGGGAGGCAGCAGUGGGAAAUAUUGGACAAUGGGCGAAAGCCUGAUCCAGCCAUGCCGCGUGUGUGAAGAAGGUCUUCGGAUUGUAAAGCACUUUAAGUUGGGAGGAAGGGCAGUAAGUUAAUACCUUGCUGUUUUGACGUUACCAACAGAAUAAGCACCGGCUAACUUCGUG